GACGAACGCUGGCGGCGUGCCUAACACAUGCAAGUCGAGCGAGGUUCAGUCAGUGGCAACACUGACGAAGACCUAGCGGCGAACGGGUGAGUAUCACGUGAGCAACCUGCCCUGAAGUCUGGGAUAACCAGGGGAAACCCUGGCUAAUACCGGAUGCCUUCCACUGAUCGCAUGGUCGGUGGCAGAAAGAUUUAUCGCUUCAGGAGGGGCUCGCGGCCUAUCAGCUAGUUGGCGGGGUAACGGCCCACCAAGGCAUCGACGGGUGGCUGGUCUGAGAGGAUGAUCAGCCACACUGGGACUGAGACACGGCCCAGACUCCUACGGGAGGCAGCAGUGGGGAAUAUUGCGCAAUGGGCGAAAGCCUGACGCAGCAACGCCGCGUGCGGGAUGAAGGCCUUCGGGUUGUAAACCGCUUCGACAGGACGAAUUUGACGGUACCUGUAGAAGAAGCCCGGCCAACUACGUGCCAGCAGCCGCGGUAA
This 482-nucleotide ribosomal RNA is filed under the name uncultured bacterium. RNAcentral's name for it is "bacterial SSU rRNA". It matches the Rfam family "Bacterial small subunit ribosomal RNA", at positions 28 to 523 of the family's 1533-position model. The record is from RNAcentral.